Molecule: ribosomal RNA, 696 nt
Filed under: uncultured bacterium
Lineage: Bacteria
Description: bacterial SSU rRNA
Rfam family: Bacterial small subunit ribosomal RNA
Source: RNAcentral
CAUGCAAGUCGAACGGCACCCACCCUCGGGUGGAAGCGAGUGGCGAACGGCUGAGUAACACGUGGAGAACCUGCCCCCUCCCCCGGGAUAGCCGCCCGAAAGGACGGGUAAUACCGGAUACCCCGGGGUGCCGCAUGGCACCCCGGCUAAAGCCCCGACGGGAGGGGAUGGCUCCGCGGCCCAUCAGGUAGACGGCGGGGUGACGGCCCACCGUGCCGACAACGGGUAGCCGGGUUGAGAGACCGACCGGCCAGAUUGGGACUGAGACACGGCCCAGACUCCUACGGGAGGCAGCAGUGGGGAAUCUUGCGCAAUGGGGGGAACCCUGACGCAGCGACGCCGCGUGCGGGACGGAGGCCUUCGGGUCGUAAACCGCUUUCAGCAGGGAAGAGUCAAGACUGUACCUGCAGAAGAAGCCCCGGCUAACUACGUGCCAGCAGCCGCGGUAAUACGUAGGGGGCGAGCGUUAUCCGGAUUCAUUGGGCGUAAAGCGCGCGUAGGCGGCCCGGCAGGCCGGGGGUCGAAGCGGGGGGCUCAACCCCCCGAAGCCCCCGGAACCUCCGCGGCUUGGGUCCGGUAGGGGAGGGUGGAACACCCGGUGUAGCGGUGGAAUGCGCAGAUAUCGGGUGGAACACCGGUGGCGAAGGCGGCCCUCUGGGCCGAGACCGACGCUGAGGCGCGAAAGCUGGGGGAGCG